RNAcentral lists this long non-coding RNA (10012 nucleotides) under Equus caballus (horse). RNAcentral's name for it is "lncRNA (ENSECAG00000034932.3)". Lineage: Eukaryota; Metazoa; Chordata; Mammalia; Perissodactyla; Equidae. The record is from RNAcentral.
CCGGGCCAGAGCAGCGGCGGAGGCUGAGGAGGGAGCUAGCCGGUUGAGGCCCGCUCUGCCCUGCUAGCCUUGGCUCGCGGAGGCUGAGAUCCCGGCGGGCGCCUCCGCCCAGCGCCCGCUGAGCCCUGGCACCCCGGACCCAGGGUCACGGCGCACCGUGGGCGGGAAUGUGCCGGGAGGACCGCACGGGAGAGCACGGAUGGGCACCCUGGGCUCGAUGUAAGUGGCUUGGCCCGCGCGGGGCAGGAGAUGGGCGAGCGCCUUGGAACCCAGCGUGUCUGAAUGUCCGCCACAAGGGGCCGGCUGAGCCCCACACCCUCCUCCGGGCUCCCGGGACCACCUUGACGAUUCCCAGUCCUGAUCGGAACCCCCGCCAACCCCUAGGGCACGUCUCGCCUCGGACCCCCGGCCAUUUUCACAGCCAUAGCUUCUCACCUGGGGCGGGUGGGUGCUCCACCACCCUCCCGCCCUCUUUCCUCCACACGUGUGCCAGAGCCACAUCCAGCACCACGGACAGCUCCCGGGCGGUGAGUGAGAUGGCUAUGCUGACCCCCUUUGGGAGGGUUAGGAGGGCGUCCUCCUAUCUGCACCGUCAGCUAUCAAAAACUCCAGAUUUUUUAAUCUGUGGGAGUUAUUUGCAGGCAGCUGUGGAGUCUCAGGGAGAGGAAAAGGCUGAGGGCAGUUGACAUUGCAUUUCCAGGAAACUGGGUUUGUCCUCAUUGGGGAGUUGGGAUGAGAGGGGCCUCUCCAGCAGUAGGAAGGAUGAAGGUUAGACUCAGGGAGUAUUCAACCUAAGUUCAUGCAAGACACAGACUGUACCAAUCAGGUAAAGGUAAAAUGAACCUUAGAUAGCAUCAGCCCUAUAGCCCUCAUUUUACAGAUCCCAAGAGAGUGGAAGAGGUGUGACCAAGGUCACUCAGCUGCUUAGUGGAAAUGCCAAGACCCAGGCUCCUGAAUUCCAGCCUGGUCCUGCCUAUUCUGCCUGGUACUUCUUUAGGGGUCUCCCUGCCUGAGUUGGGUGGAGCAGGUAGAGAGAGUUCACAGGUUGCCCCCAUACAAAAAAGGACAGGAUGCAUGUCUCAGCAUGUGAGGUGUCCACACAAGCCAAGAAGAGGUGGAACUGACUGCUAUCUCUGUCUGAGGAGGUUUGGAGAGGAGGCCUCAGGGAGAAGCACAGGGAGAGACAUACCUAGCAGUAGCUGGCAAGCCCACGGGAGAAAAGGCAAGGGGGCAGCCAUCUGCUAGGGCACAGAGGCCAGUGGAUGGCCACAAGGAGUCUCCAGAGGCCGGCAAGAGUCACACAAACUGGAACAGGGCCUGGGAAAGGCCCUUCUGUGUGCCCAGGCCUGCUCCCUCAACACCGUGAGCAGAGAAACAAAGGGGCCAUUCUCUCUAGGAUUUGAUGCCGCCAUCUCCGGCUGGCAGUGCCAGGUGGUGGGGGCAUCAGGGGGUGUCAAUCCAUUAUCCCCCCCUAACUCCUAGGUCCUCUGGGGCUUGAUGUUGGGGAGGUGGGUGUUCCAUGCUAUGUUGCCAUGGCAACCACCCCAACCCCCACUUUCCAAAGCACAAAGAGAGACAGCUUUCACCCCCACCCCCAGGAAGAACCUGGGUCUGGCUGGGAAUCUUCCCUUGGGAAUCCUCCUUUCUGAGGCACAAGCCAUGGCAUGCAUAAGCAUCACCUUUUCAGCACCCGGAGCUGAAGGUUCUGCCAUCAGCAGGCCAUACAAGCAGGGAGGCUGGUGCAUCCAGAGUCUCUGGGCAAGGUUGCUCAAGUGAGGUUGUGCAAGUGAGGACGAGUCCCUUGUACUUAACCCUCUCUCCCCACAAGCCCUCCUGUCCUUCACCUAUAGCCAAGGCCAACCUCAGCUCAACCGUCUCAGCUGAAGCAACGUGGCUUUGACCUUCUACUCUUUCCCAGAAGUGAGGGACAUCCUGCUACCCCUAGCAAGCCUCCAGGCUGUGGGAACAGAGAAGAGGAGGGGUCAUUCCUGCCAUCCUCCAUCUGCACCCUCCGCCAUUACUCAUUCGGCAUUCUGCCCCCUCCUUCCGCUCGUUAAGCCUGAUUUGCAUACAUUUGCAUAAUACAACUUAUUUGCAUUCCAGGAGGCUCAUGGUAGGAGCCAGGAAAAAAGGGGAGGGGGGUUGUAGAAGAGAGAAAAGGGGAGAAAUUUUGUUUUCAUCAAAGUGUGUGCGCGCGCGCGCACGCGUGUGUGUGUGUGUGUGUGUGUGUGUGUGUGUGUGUGUUGGGGGGGAGGUGGCAGGAAGAGGAUGGAAAUAAAAACUCACACUACUUUCUUUCUUCCCUUCUGCCCUCUCUCCCUCUGCUGGACUAAAGUGCCAAAGAGAGAUGCCAAGGGGCCGGCUUUUCUGUCCUUUUUUGUUUUGCUUCCUCUGGCCUUGGCUCCCCAGCCCGGCCCCCCACCUUGCUGGGCUCAGGCUUCAGAAAGAAAGAGGCAAGGGUAAGAGGCAAGGCUGUGGGAACGAAAGCAGAGGGAGACAGGGAGGCCGCCAUCUUAGGUAGCUGGCGCCUAUAAAAUGGCCGCCUCUCCAGAGCUGAGAGCUGGCCUGGUUGGUGGACGUGGAGGGAGGUGAGAUGUCAGGGCUUUAUGGCUGACCAGGAACAUUGUUGAGUCUUCCUACUAGUGAAACUGGGAAGAGAGGAUGGAGAGAGAAGGAAGGAGGGAGAGAUGAGGAAGGGGCAGCCCCCGAAGAGAUGUGAGCCUCACACAGGAGCAGCCGCGGUAGAGAGGCCUCCACGCUGGCCUUGGUUCCAGACCCCUCCAUGGAGAGAGAAGGAAGGAGGGAGAGAUGAGGAAGGGGCAGCCCCCGAAGAGAUGUGAGCCUCACACAGGAGCAGCCGCGGUAGAGAGGCCUCCACGCUGGCCUUGGUUCCAGACCCCUCCUGAGCGCCAAUGGUCAGAGGACUUGAAGGACUGGGGGUGACGCAAAAAAUACCGGAGGAAUCAGAACUGGGGGUGUCAGCAGGAGGAGGGAGAGGGUAAGGUGUGGGCAGGCAGGAUCAUCUGCCAGUUUAGGGUGGGGGUCUCUCUGGGGCCUGUGAAGGGCCACCAUGUACUUGAGGCGAAGCUCCAAGUCAUCUCUCCUCAGCCCUGCAGUCCGGCUUCCAUCUUCGUAACUCUGGUGACACUGUGCCCUCUCAGGCCGCUCAACCUCCUCGCUCGGACCCAACGGCCCUUGCUCAGGUCUGGUGACUUUUGUGGAACAUUUCAUGCUGAUGUCCAUCGUGUCUUCACCUUUGGCCUUUGGUUCUUCUGUGAUAUCCCUGAUUAUUCAUUCUGGGUUCUCUUCUCUCAGUCCGCUGGGUUGACCAGUCCUCCAGCCAAAAGUAUGUUCCCCAAGGUUCUACUGUCACCUUUGUUUUUUUCCUUCCUACUCACUUUCAUUCACUUUUAUCACCUCAGCCAUCAGCCAAAGUUAUAAACGCUCGUUCAUUUCUCUAGUCUUGGCUUCUUAUAAACUCCAGAUUGUACCCUAACUGCUACCUGUGGUCCUGCCAUUAGCUCCCAGGUCAGAGACUGGACUGGUGCAUCUGAUUGGCUAAGCCUAGACCCAACGCCCAGGCCCCAGCUGCAAGGAGGGCCAGGAAGGUACCUGUGCUUUUGGCUUCUGUAGUGGCAUGUAAGUGCAGCCUCCCUCCGAAACUCAUGAGGGGGUCAUUCCCCAGACAUAGGAAGGGCAUUCACAUGCUCCCUCACUCCGCAUUGGGCUUGAAGUCUUGCCCCGUGUUCCUGCUUCCCUGCCUCUAUGGGCGGCUUCAUUAAACUCCCAGGCCCUCAGGUGCAAAUCCUGAGCAUUAUCCGAUUUGCCCUCUUCCUUCCCCCGAUCCAAAUCAGUCACAUCGGAACCCACCACUUCCUCCUUUGUAGCACCUCUCAUGUUCAUACCUUCCUUUCCCUUAUCCCUACCUCCAUGUCAGCUCAUUCAUUCACUAGACAUUUAUUGAGUGCCUACUAUGUGCCAGGUGCUAUGCUGAAGAGGAAGGUGGAAUACAAAGCUUCUUUGAGGAGCUAACCGUCCAGCAGGGGAGGCAGACACACAAUUACAUGGCAUGUGGAGACUGCUGUCCUGAAGACGUGUGCAAAGUGCUGUGGGAGCAGGUGGGGAGGGAACUGUGGGCCACCUUGGGGGAGUUAAGGAAGGGUUCCUGGAGGGGGCCAAAAUGUUGGUGAUGAAAGAUAAAGGGAAUAAAAGUGAUAAAAGGUAAGCAAGGAGUUGUCAGUCUAAGGAGUUUGAGGAAGUGGGUGGUGGAGAGUGGACAGUGUACGUGAAAGCAAGGACGUAGGGAAGAGCAUGGUGCCUUAGGGGACUGGAACAUCCAUCAGAGGGAGUCUGGGCUGGGGGAGAUGGGAAGUGGAAGCAGAAAUUCCAUUAUUAAGAGCUUUAUCUGCUCCAUGAGGGAGGCUGCAUUUGAUGGGGAUUCUGAGAAGUUAGCUGACAGCCUCAGGGAUGCUGGGUGCAGGGUAUGGCUGCGACAAGGACACCCGCAUCUAGCUGCCCACUGAGCCCAGCACCCAACCAGACACUUAACUGGCUCUUGGCUAGUUCUGAAGAAAGGAAGGAACGUAUGAAAGGCCUGGAAGCCACCUGAGGAAGAGUCUCUGCCUCUCCCCCUCCAGAACCGCCCACGCCCCACAGGUACACACUGGGCAGGCUGGUGGGAGCCCUUUGGGGAGAAAUGUGGAGAAGCCAAGGUUGGUCCCCAGCACAGUGUCCCAACAUCAGGACAGGAGAUGGGCCACUGCGGACUGGAGUGAAGAAUAGAGAAGGGGGUUCAGUCCUGAAAACUUCCUGGAAGAGGGAGUGAGGGAAGGUGUAAGGGGUCAUCAAGGAGGGGGCCAAGGCUCCGGGGGGAUUCUUCCCAGAAAAAGGGAGUGAAAGGCUGGAGAGACAGCUGAAGAGAUGAUGAGGCGGCUGCUGGCCACUGGGGUGGAGUGUAAGGGGGCGGGGGGCGGUGCUGGCUACCGCCCCUCCCCCAGGCCCAGCGUCUGCACAAAGACCUCUCUGUGAAUGGCCAUGGAAGUGGCCCUGUCAGGUGAGGGGGCUUAGCUCCCGGGGGCCCACUGGGAGUGGUGGAAUGGGGUUGGAGGAGGGGAAGGCUGAGAGGAGGCCUCAAGCUUUAAGCAGGUUGGAGAAACAAAUAGAAGCUGAGACCUGGCCAGGGUCUCACAGUGAGGCCAAGGUAGAGCCAUUCCCAGGACAGGCCCCACAGGUCCCCAGCACCAAGGCCCUACUCCCGCCCUUCCCCCCCACAUUUCUUCCCAGCUAUAAACCCCAAUCCUGCCAGGCCUCUCCAGCCUUCCAUCUCCAGCCCAUACACGCCUUCCCAUGGUGCUUCUGGGGCUGACCCCACCCUGAACCUCUCUGAUCUUCCCAGCACAGGGACUGUUGGAGUCUGCCUCCAGGGAAGGCUGUGUUGGGAGGGUGGAAAGACAAGACUGACCAGAACCAAAAAGGAGCCCUGAGGCCACCUCAGUCUCCACACCCAGUCAUGUCCUCCCCAGGGGAGGUUUCUCUCCUUGCCUGGCCUCAGGGUCACUUACUGCUAAUCACAGUGUGGGUAGACAUUCUCCCCUACCUCCAACCCCUUGUUGUGCACACUGUCCCUUCUAAUAAAUGUUGGCUUUGGGGGUGCUGGAAGCAGAAUGACAUCAGUUACAGCCUCAGCUUGCAGGUUGCUCACAGAUUUGAUAGAGGGGCUCUGUCCACAGGAAGGACAACAAAAGGAAGGACAAUGAAGUUUUGGUUUUUGACUCUGGAAUCAGGCUGAUCAGGAUAUAAAUUCUGGCUUCCCUUUCUUACUACCUGGGUGACCAUAGGCAAACCACUUAAUGUGUUUAGAUCCUAACUUCCUUCCACGGUUGUCCUGAGGACCAAAUGGGUCAGUGUCAAUGAGAGUGCUUCGUAAGGCUGUGUGCAGAUGUCGUGUUAAUUCUAAAUGCUGAGGGACACAGAGGGGCCAUUGCAGGUAGGUGGGAACAAUCAGAGAAGGCUUCCAGGGUUUGGAAACGAGAGCAGGGAUUGCUGGAGAGGAGAGUGAAGGGAGUCUGGGUGCAAUCUAUGGUGGAGCCCUGUCUGAGAAGUGUGGCUGGGCUCCGGGGACGGGCUGGAGGACUGGCUGGAGCUCUCGUGGUCUCACGCAGGCCAGCAUCUUGCUAGACUGGUUUGGGAGGCAUUUGUUUUUAACAACUGGGUGGUAGACUCCAUGACCACAGCUUCUUCCAGCCUUCUCAGGAAGAACUUCCCGCUGGCCCUGUGCAAACACUGUCCAGCAAUCCUGAGAGGAGGAGAGGGAUGGAGCGAAGCUCGAGUUCCCCAUGUUGCCCUAGCCCACUUUGCUCCCUCCCUGCAGCCCUCAUGUCAUUGUUCUCCAGAGGGAGCACUAGCCAGACAUUGUGACCCUCCACUGAAUGUAUACAAAAUGGUACCUCCAAGCCCUGCCACUUAGGACCCUCAAGUGCCUGAUUUUAUGGUUCCUCCGCAUUGUGAGGAGGGAGCUAAAUUCAGACUUAUUUAGAUCCCUCGGCCCAUAAGCCAGGGAGACUUUGAGCACGAGGGUCUCUUGUCUCUAAGCGGUCAUUCCUUGUUGUACAAGAAAGAGUCAGGAGGAGGAAUGGUUUUGGCAUCAUCCCCCACAGGUAACAGUGGAGCCUUUAAGCCUGGAGGGAAGGACCAGGCUGAGGCUGGCAUAUGGAGGGAGAGCCCUGGGCACGGGGAGCAUGAGCUUCACCCGGCUGGGGCUACCUUCUGCUGGGUUUGUCCAUCUGGCACCAGCUGGCUUCCCAGCACCGCCCCCGCAACCAACCAGACUCCUUCUUCUGCUGUUGCCAUGGCAAUUGGCUGCCAUCUUGUACUCGGGGCACUACCUCAUAUCUGGAUUUUUCCCGUGGGGUUCCUGGAUGAUGGGAGAUAGGUCUCCAGGGAUGUAUCCUUUCCUCCUGAUAUUCAUCCAAUAAAAAUUCAUAUUAAUGUGAUUUUUAAAAAUAGCCAAAUUGGGGGCUGGCCCCGUGGCCGAGUGGUUAAGUUCGCGCGCUCCACUGCAGGCGGCCCAGUGUUUCGUUAGUUUGAAUCCUGGGUGCGGACAUGGCACUGCUCAUCAGACCACGCUGAGGCAGCAUCCCACAUGCCACGACUAGAAGAACCCACAACGAAGAAUACACAACUAUGUACCGGGGGGCUUUGGGGAGAAAAAGGAAAAAAAAAAAAAAUCUUUAGAAAAAAAAAAAGUAGCCAAAUUGGAGGCUUGCUAUGUGUCAGGCUCUGUCCUCAGUGUAUUUAAUUUGGCUAAGAAAGCAUUAAUGAGAUGAAAUUUAAGAGGUUCCCACUCAGUUUCCUGUUUCUAUGACAGACUUUUCCUCUCUCCAACCAGGAAAUUCCAUGAUCUUUCUUAUUCCUGUCUUGGGAAGUCCUUCCCAAUGUCUAACCAAGAUCUGUACUGCUGAAGCACCAGUUCUUUGACCCUUGGCUUGACAUGGUUAAUUUGAGAGGUAAGGAAGGAACUGCCACCCAGCUUUAACGACUUUAUUGGGCUUCCUGGACUCCAGCUGUUAGGACCAGGAAACUAAGACUUGGCUAGCUUGGUGAGAGGUCCAAGUGCCCCUUAAAGACUUGGGGGCCCCAAGUCUAAGACUUUUUCUUUAGAGAAGGGGAGUCAAUAUCACAAAAUGCUUUGAAAUUUCCCUUCCUUGCCCCCAUCCCCACCCAAAGAAAGAGACAGGAGCCAGAGACCAUUGGAAAGUGGUAGUCUCCAAGGCUUUGCGGGGUGGCCCAGAAAGCAGUCUCCCCCUCCCGCCAUUGGGGAGGUUCCAACAAGGGUCCCUGAGAGAUCCUGGGAUGGUGAGAAUUCCCUCCCUCUGGAGCUCAAGCAGAAGGCAGAGAAUGGUCACCUUGACCUCGGGCAUCUAUAAGGGGCACUGAGCAGGGGCCAGCUUUGCUGAGGGAAUCUUGAAUGAGGAGCAGGUGGAAAGAGAAAGGAGGCCAUUCUCAACUGAGGAAGGGUGGGCUGGCAGGGAGGGGCUGGGGAUAAUUUAUGAUAUCAUUGUUCCCCGCCCCACUUUCCCAGCCCCCACCCUCUUCCCAGCCCCCUGCUACUGUACCGUUGCUAGGAGAUGCUCGCUAUGUCAGGGGCUGGGAGGGUGGAACAGGCGGAGACUGUUCCAUCUGGACUCCUCCUCCCCCACCCAGGGGAGGGCCCUGCACUGAGCUUCCUGCACCACCCCUUCCCAGGCCAUGACAAACACCAGUCUCUUCUGUUGUUCCCCCAAAUCCAGCCAGCCUGGGGCUAGGAGGGCUCCCAGGCAGGCGGAGGAUCUGGAGCAAGGAGUGGGAAGAGUGGGAAAGGGAGCUGUAGAGGGAGAGGCUGACAGACUUAGUUGGGGCACUGAGGAACAGCUGGCUCACCUCAGGGCCUCUGGGAGCCAGCCCAGGCUGGGAAGAGGGCCAGAGGGGGUCAGGGACACAGGGCUCCAGGAGCCCAGGUUUGAGGGAGAGUCCUUACCUCACCUUUGGGGAGCUUCCAGUAUAGUGGUCAAGGCAGACCUCCCAUCCCAGCCCCUCCAAAGUAUGGUCAAGGUCAAGGUUAGGGACCUGGCAAACAUGGGGGUUGUGGGAAGGUCGGGUAGGGGAGGGGGGAGCAGGGAGGAAGGAGGUAAGUCUGGCAAGUCUGAGUCUAGGUAGGCGGGAGGUGACACUGAUCUGAGGGGUUGGGCAGUGCAGGAGAGUGGCUCAGAUCCCCUCCUCUUUCUGAAAUUCUCUUCUCAGAUUUUAAAGCCCUUGGAGAAGUGGGGUGAGGUGAACUUUGGGGGCUUCCAAAGCUAGGGCUCCCAACUCCAGAUGGGGCAGGAAAGGAAUGCCGUGCCCACAGCUGUGCCUCUGAUGCCUGACUUCUGUGUAGCCCCUACUGACUUUAUUCUUCUUUCCUAGGCACAGCUUCCCUCUACCCCAGGAAGGAAGAAACUGACUUUGAUUUGGCACCCACUUGCUUGUGUAAGCCCUUUCUUAGCCAUUAUCUCAGUUAAUCUUCCAACAGUCCUGAAAACUGGUGAUGCUGUCCCCACUUUACAAAGGCAGAAUCAGCCCCAAGAAGGACAUGUAAGUUGCCCAGCGUCACAGAACUAGUAAGUUGGGUGGGGCUUCAGAGAGGGCUUUGCAGAUCCCAAAGUAUGUGCUGUUCGCUUUCCCAUGCUGACUUCUGGCAGAACAUGUUGCAAACACAAUCAGAGGGACUGAGAGGAGAGGACCAGAUAGGCCGGGGGACGUCUCAGCGUGUUCUCAGGGGAGGAAGGGGGUGCUCCUUCUCGGGUGCAGGAGUGAAGUCUGAGGGAUGCUAAAACAGUCCUUGCAGGUUGAAGACGGGCCUGGGGAGGAGGCCACAGGAGCUGUAGAAACCACCAAAAUCCUCCCGGGUUGGUCCCUGGCCUUGGGAAGUGUGCUCCCCUCCCUGCCUUCCUGAAUCAAGCCUGGGCCACCCCCUCAUCUCUCUCCUGCUUGGGCUCUGCGUUCUGCCCUGGGCGUUCCCCUCCCCCAGGGACUGGGGUGGAGCCCCUAGAACAGAUGCCUAGACUCAGCCACUGACGCCCUCCCUGGAAGUUGCCCUCUGUCUCCUGCUAAGGUCUCCAUCCAAAGAACCUUUUUCGGUCUUGACAUUUUUUCUUUUCAGACCAAAAAGAAGAACCUACUUCACCCUUUGGCCUAGGUUCCCUCUGAGAAGCCUUCCUGGAUUGACUGAAAGAUGUGGCUAAACUCUAGCAAGUUGACCAGCUCCUCCAAGAAGCCUCUGAGCAGGCCAGAAGUAGGCACGCCCUAGCAACCAGCCUGGCAGCCCACUACACCCGGAGCCGCCUGGGAUAAGACUUUGCUUCACUGUUGCUCCCGUGUCCACAGGCUGUCCAUCCCGGCCCAUCUUGGUUUCUCCUUUGUCAUCUGAGCUGAGAUUCUCUGAGAUGGAAGACCCAUCUCGUGUCUAAUAAAGACUCUUGAAUGUUGAACAACAGUA